Molecule: ribosomal RNA, 543 nt
Filed under: uncultured archaeon
Lineage: Archaea
Description: bacterial SSU rRNA
Rfam family: Archaeal small subunit ribosomal RNA
Source: RNAcentral
CAGCAGGCGCGAAAACUUUACAAUGCGGGAAACCGUGAUAAGGGGACACCGAGUGCCAGCAUCAUAUGCUGGCUGUCCGGGUGUGUAAAAUACACCCGUUAGCAAGGGCCGGGCAAGACCGGUGCCAGCCGCCGCGGUAACACCGGCGGCCCGAGUGGUGAUCGUGAUUAUUGGGUCUAAAGGGUCCGUAGCCGGUUUGGUCAGUCCUCCGGGAAAUCUGAUAGCUCAACUAUUAGGCUUUCGGGGGAUACUGCCAGGCUUGGAACCGGGAGAGGUAAGAGGUACUACAGGGGUAGGAGUGAAAUCUUGUAAUCCCUGUGGGACCACCUGUGGCGAAGGCGUCUUACCAGAACGGGUUCGACGGUGAGGGACGAAAGCUGGGGGCACGAACCGGAUUAGAUACCCGGGUAGUCCCAGCCGUAAACGAUGCUCGCUAGGUGUCAGGCAUGGCGCGACCGUGUCUGGUGCCGCAGGGAAGCCGUGAAGCGAGCCACCUGGGAAGUACGGCCGCAAGGCUGAAACUUAAAGGAAUUGGCGGGGGAG